Molecule: non-coding RNA, 102 nt
Organism: Marasmius sp. AFHP31
Lineage: Eukaryota; Fungi; Basidiomycota; Agaricomycetes; Agaricales; Marasmiaceae
Source: the annotation of a GenBank genome assembly
GGCGCUAUAGCCAAGUGGUUACGGCGACAGAUUAGAAUGUCGAAAUAAUGUCGCUCUAUCUGUUCCUCUUUGAGGGCGCAGGUUCGAAUCCUGCUGGCGUCG